Lycium ferocissimum is the source of this 4087-nucleotide long non-coding RNA. RefSeq lists it as uncharacterized. Lineage: Eukaryota; Viridiplantae; Streptophyta; Magnoliopsida; Solanales; Solanaceae. The transcript is spliced from 2 exons. The record is from RefSeq and is a predicted model, not a curated record.
ACUGACAUACAUACACAUACAUAAUUGAGAAAUCCUCGAGGAUAGUGGUGUGCGAUUCCAAGAGCGUCUCAAUAAAAUUAGUGGCCAAACAUAUACACAUAUUGACAUACAUACACAUAUAUAAUUGAGAAAUCCUCGAGGAUAGUGGUGUGCGGUUCCAAGAGCGUCUCAGUAAAAUUAGUGGCCAAACAUAUAUGUGAUAUAUUUCAGUUUUUGCUGGUGUGAGUAUAGAGCUGAUUGAUCCUUCAUUAAUUAAUCUGAGUACGGAAUUCCAAUUCUGAUUUUUUUUUUUUGGGGGAUUGUUUAGCGAUGAUAUAGCAGGUAUUUUUGAUGUUCUAGAUAGUUUGCAGUAGAUCUGAGAGUUAGCACAGAGAAAUAGUGAAUGACCUUUGGUUUCUAUAUCUGUACAGUGUUACACAUUGAAAAGUUUUAAUGAAGCUGAUAAAAUCGGUGUGCUUUUCAUGGAGGAGUUCUUCCUCUAUAUAUACAGGAUGCUACACAAAGUGUAGUUGAAUACAAACUCUCUAAGCGAUAAACUAUACUUGGUAUUAUCCUUCCUCUAGAUAAACUAUACAUAUGAAUUCUAGUUAAAUACAACUAAACAAACGUGAGGAUAAGCUCACUGUUGAGAUGUCCUAACAUGCCCCCGCAAGCUGAGCAGUGGCUGUGCAACUGUAAGCUUGGAACGAAGGAGAUGAAACCGACAAGAAGGAAGGCUCUUGGUAAUGAUGUCUGCUAACUGAUCCAAGGAAUUGAUGUAGCGAACGUCCAGCUGUUAUGGACUUAUCACUUGCAGUAGUAGGUAGAGAAGAAGAAUUACAAGGAGCAAUGACGGGCAAAAAGGACACGACAGUAGAGUUGGAGGUCGGUGUGCUACUGGGAGUUGAAGAUGAGCUAGCAAAGGGAAAUUGUAACUCGUCAAAACCACAUGCCGAGAGACAUAUAUUCGACCACUUGGACAUGUAAACAUUGAUAGCCUUGUGAUGUCCACUAUACCCCAAGAAAACGCAUUGUAAGGAUCGAAAUGCUAGCUUGUGAGAGUUAUAGGGAUGAAGGAAUGGGUAGCACGCGCAGCCAAAGACUUUCAUGAAUUGAUAAUCAGGAACCUUUUUGUACAACUUCUCAUAAGGUGAAACAUUAGUGAGCGAGAGUGAGGGGAUACGAUUUAUAGCGUAAACUGCCGUAGCAAAGGCAUGAUCCCAAAAGGUGAGAGGAAGGGGGGAGGCGUGUGCGAGAAGUGUUAAACCCAUUUCAACAAUAUGACGAUGUUUUCUUUCAGCGGUACCAUUUUGUUCAUGAGUAUGGGGACAAGAGAGCUGAUGAACGAUCCCUGCUUCAAAGAAAAAAGUUGGAUAAUUUCCUAUAUUCGCCACCCCAAUCAGAUUGUACCACUUUUAUAUGACGCUCAAAGAACUUCUCGACUUGAGUUUUAAAGUGUAAAAAUAUGGUAUAAACCUCAUUUUUGGAACUCAUAGGAAAUAACCAUGUAAAUUUGCUAAAGUCAUCAAUGAAAGAAACACAAUAACGAAAUUUAUUGCUAGCUAACUGUGGAGUAGGGCCUCAUACAUCAGUGUGGAUCAAUUCAAGAGGGCAAGUAAAGACUAGAACUAGAAAUAGAAAAAGGCAAUUUGUGACUCUUUGCCAUAUUGGCAAGAAGAACAAACAAGUGACCUAAACGACUAUGCCAUAAAUCAAAUGAUUGCUUGGACACAUGGAACGCCUCUAAUUUAUUUGAGGGAGAGGGUUGGUUGAGUAACUGGGCAGCAAAGAGACGAUAAAGGCCAUGCGCAAGAGUCCCGCGCAUUAGUAAUUUCCCCGUUGCCCGAUCCUUCACAAGACAAAAACGACGGUGAAACUCAAAUAUAACAUUAUUAUCAGUAGUAAAUUUUGCCACACUAAGCAAAUUCUUGGUAAUUUCAGGCACCAGUAAUACAUUAGUUAGACGUAAAUAUCGACUAACUGUAGGUAAAGUAGCAUUACAAAAAUGAGAAAUUGUCAAACCUGUGCCAUUAUCGCAUGAAUUUGAUCAGUUCCCAGAUACUCUCCUCUUACCGCCAUGUUCAGCAUAUCAUUAGUUAAAUGAUGAGUAGCCCCAAAAUCCGGAUAACAAUUUAGGUCUCCAACCGUGGAAGGUUGUGCAAUGAGAGCAGCCAUGUGCGACUUGGAUGGAGCUUGAUAUGCAUGAUCGAAACGAUGGUAGCAAUUUAGGGUCGAGUGACCAAACUUAUUGCAAACUUGACACUGAUUUUUGGUUGGACGAGUUGGUAUUGCGACCCCGACCUCGUCCUCGUCCAGAUUUGCCACCAUAAGCCUGAUUGUUAUGGACAUUAGUAGGCUUCUUAAAUGAGUUAUCAUUCUUGGUGUUGCUGGAUUGUCUAGCAGACAAGUUGACUUGGCCCAAACCUUGUUCCAAACUUGUCAUCUGUUCCAAACGAUACUUAUGACUUAAAAGCAAGCCAUGGAGAUCGGCUAAUGAAAUUAGUUCCGCACUAGCAGUGACUGAGACAACCAGGGCAUCAUAUUUUUGCCCAAGUCCUCCAAGAAUAUAUAAGACAAGAUCAUCAACAGUGACGGGGUGUGCUGCGACGGCGAGAUUAUCGGCACAAGUCUUCAUUCUUUUGAAGGUAUUCUACUAUGGAUGCUGCAGCCUUAGUUGCAUUAUCCUAGCCUUGGAUUGCGACGCAAACAUUGUCUCAAGCGCUCACCGAACCGUCUGAGAUGUUGUGCAACCGACUACUUGGGCUAAAAUCCCUUCGCUGAGGGUGAAGUUGGUCUUGUUUGAUCCAUAAACUGUACGAUGGGUUGAUAACCGCGCCAGUUGAGGUUGCUUCAGAAAAGCUAUGCGAAAUUACCUUUGGAGGGCAUUUGUGCGUACCAUCCACAUAUCCCUCAAGUUCAUAACCCCUUAGAACUGGGAGAAUUUGUGAUUUCCAUAAGAUAUAGUUAUUACGGUCCAAUUUGAGAAGAUGAGACUAGUUAAUGUUCGUCGCGAACGACGAAGGAUUCUGGGAAGGGGUUUGCGAGGUGAUGCUGGUAAUGGAGGGAAGUGUCAUUGUGAGACCUGAGUCUUCGCAAGGCUCCGAUACCAUGACAAGGUUUAAUGAAGCUGAUAAAAUCGGUCUGCUUUUCAUGGAGCAGUUCUUCCUCUAUAUAUAUAGGAUGCUACACAAAGUGUAGUUGAAUACAAACUCUCUAAGAGAUAAACUAUACUUGGUAUUAUCCUUCCUUUAGAUAAACUAUACAUAUGAAUUCUAGUUAAAUACAACUAAACAAACGUGAGGAUAAGCUCACUGUUGAGAUGUCCUAACACACAUAUACACAACACUUACACUGAUACACAUACAUUUUUUUUGCUGAUAACGGAGAAAAUCUCGGUUCUAGACAAACGUAAAUACAUAUAUUCAGUUUUUUUCAUUUAUAUUUUAACAAUCAAAUGUUAGAUUAUGGAGACGUUGUUGUAGGUGAGUUUAUCACCUUUCAAUGUUUUGAUUUGCUUCGAAAUGGAGUGAAAUGCUUUGAGUAUGAAGUGAUAAUAUAUACUCCCUCUGUCCCAAUUUAUGUGGCACCAUUUCCUUUUUGGUCUGUCCCAAAAAGAAAGUUUAGAAACAAUUUAACUUUAUGAGAUGAUUUACAACCACACAUGUAUAUAAGGCUUGUUUUGGACCGCAUAUUUCAAAAGUAUUCCUUUCUUUGUUAAAUUCCGUGCCAAGUCAAAUGGUGCCACAUAAAUUUGGACGGAGGGAUUAUAUAGACACAAACACACACAUAUAAGUUGUGUGUGUAUGUGUGUUUAUUUUUCAUGUAAAUUGUUAGAUUCUGGAUUGUUGAGAGCUAGAGUGUUGCUGUAUGUAAGUUUAUCUCCUUCAUUAUUUUGUGUGUGCUGUUGAAAUUGCAUUGCUUCAAAAUGGAGUUGGAGGCUUUGAGUACAAACUGAUUUGGAUUGUUUUUUGAUGAUUUUGUCUGUGAGAAUUUUUGAUGUUCUAUAUAGUUCACAGUAGAUCCGGAAGUUAGCAUAGUGAAUGGCCUUUUGCUUUCUGCAUGUGUACACAUAUACACAACCCAUACACUGAUAUACAUACACACAGAU